UGGGAUCAGAUCCUUGAGUGGGAAUGGGAUCGAGAAUGGGAUUGGGAAUGGGACUGGGAAUGGGAUUGGGAAUGGGAAUUCCUGCUUGGGAAAACACAUGGGGGUGCUGAUGGUGAGAAUGUGGCUGGAUCCUCACACGGGAAUGGGACCAGGAAUGGGAUUGGGAAUGGGAAUCAGGAAUGGGAAUCAGGAAUGGGAAUUUCUACUUGGGAAAACACGUGGGGGUGCUGGGAUGGUGGGAAUGGGGCCAGAGCCUCGCACGGGAAUGGGAUCGGGAAUGGGAUUGGGAAUGGGAUUGGGAAUGGGAUUGGGAAGCCACGAGAGCCCUAAUGAUGAAUUAUUUAAGGCCGCAGCUCUCUCUGUGUUUCAUUUUGGGGCGCCACCAGCGCAGGCCCAGCGCGGGAGGUGACACCGCUGUCACCAAGGUCCCCCUGGCAGCGCCACCGCUCCAAGGUUCCACCCUCUGAGCUGCCCCUCUGUGACAUCAGCCCGGGCUGGUGGCACCGCCAGGGCCACCAGAGGUGACAGCUCCGCUCUGUCUCUGCCACCUGCGCUGGCACCGAUGGCUCUGCUGGCCCUGCUCGUCCUGCUGGCCCUGGCCGGGCCCGUGGGGGGCACGUGGGACACCUGCAGAGGGACCUGCGGGCUCCGGCCCAUGGCCUUCGACCACAGCUCUGAGCUUCUGGAAUAUUCCUUGGAUGGAGAUUACAAACCUUUGGAUGGAGCCUCACAGGACGGGGGUGGCACCGGGGUGCACCCAGGGGCCUGGCCCGGCAUCGUCAGCGUCCAGGCCCGGCUGGAGAACGGCACGUGGCACAUGUGCUCCGGGGCCCUCAUCCACCCUCAGUGGGUGCUCACGGUCGCACACUGCUUCGUGGGGACUGGGGACACCUCCAGGUGGGAAGUGGUGAUCGGAGCCACGGAUCUGAGCCAGCCGGGCCCCGAAGCCGAGCUGCGCCACAUCCUGAGGCUCCUGGUGCACCAAUAUUACAACCCGGCCACGGCCAGGAACAACAUCGCCCUGCUGGAGCUGGACCAGCCCGUGGAGUGCAGCGACUACAUCCAGCUGGGCUGCGUGCCCGACAGCUCCCUGGCAGUGGCCGAGCUCAGAACCUGCUUCAUCGCGGGCUGGAGAGCCAGCCCGGACAGCGCUCCCGGGCCGCGCCUGGUGCUGCAGGAGGCCAAGGUGCGGCUCAUCGACGUCCAGCUGUGCAACAGCAGCCGCUGGUACGGGGGGGCCGUGCACCCCCAGGACCUGUGCGCGGGGUACCCGCGGGGCGGCAUCGACACCUGCCAGGGGGACAUCGGGGGCCCCCUGGUCUGCAAGGACAACGUUGGUGACUACUUCUGGCUGGUGGGACUGGCCAGCUGGGGCCGAGGCUGCGCCGGGGCCAAGCGACCCGGGGUGUUCACGUCCAGCCAGCACUUCCACACCUGGAUCCAGGUCCAGAUGGGUUUGCUCCCACCAGAAGCUGAUGUUCCUCCACCAGAGCCCCUCCCAACCCUGUCCCUGGAGCUGGAGCUGGAGCCGGAGCCAGAGCCAGACUCGGAUUUUAGCGGUCUGGAGAAUCCCAACCCGGCGGACACGGGGGAAUCUACGGACCUUUCCUACCAACAACAGAUCCUGGGGAAAUUCCUGAACCUGCUGCUGGAGCUCCUGCAGUUCCUGAAAGGAAAGAAAGCCUGAGCAGCGGGAUGGGCUGAUCCAGCUGUGGCGAGCGUUCCCUGCCGGGGCAGUGGCCGCGGGGCCAAGAUCAAUCUUCUUGGCAUCGCUGGGUUCUAUAUCCUCUGAUAACGGGUGAAAUAAAUCUUUCUCUUGGAGAUCUUGGAGGAAAAGAUAAUUUUAAGAAUGCAGGGGCGUCUCUGACUGUCUUUUCAGUCUUUGGGUUAUAUAAACAAAAGAAGUUU
Molecule: RNA transcript, 1908 nt
Organism: Poecile atricapillus (Black-capped chickadee)
Lineage: Eukaryota; Metazoa; Chordata; Aves; Passeriformes; Paridae
Gene name: acrosin-like
Exons: 6
Source: RefSeq, a predicted model, not a curated record